UACGUAGGCAGCAAGCGUUGUUCGGAAUUACUGGGCGUAAAGAGUGUGUAGGCGGUGCUCUAAGUUCGGUGUGAAAUCUCCCGGCUUAACUGGGAGGGUGCGCCGGAAACUGGAGUGCUCGAGCGUGGGAGAGGAAAGCGGAAUUCCUGGUGUAGCGGUGAAAUGCGUAGAUAUCGGGAGGAACACCAGUGGCGAAGGCGGUUGCCUGGAGCUUUGCUGACGCUGAUGCGCGAAAGCGUGGGGAGCGAUCCGG
This 253-nucleotide ribosomal RNA is filed under the name uncultured bacterium. RNAcentral's name for it is "partial 16S ribosomal RNA". It matches the Rfam family "Bacterial small subunit ribosomal RNA", at positions 524 to 776 of the family's 1533-position model. The record is from RNAcentral.